GAGAGAACUCUCGUUAAGGAACUCGGCAAAAUGACCCCGUAACUUCGGGAGAAGGGGUGCUGACCGCAAGGUCAGCCGCAGUGAAUAGGCCCAAGCGACUGUUUAUCAAAAACACAGGUCUCUGCAAAAUCGAAAGAUGACGUAUAGGGGCUGACGCCUGCCCGGUGCUGGAAGGUUAAGAGGAGAGGUUAGCGCAAGCGAAGCUUUGAAUUGAAGCCCCAGUAAACGGCGGCCGUAACAAUAACGGUCCUAAGGUAGCGAAAUUCCUUGUCGGGUAAGUUCCGACCCGCACGAAAGGCGUAACGAUUUGGGCACUGUCUCAACGAGAGACUCGGUGAAAUUAUAGUACCAGUGAAGAUGCUGGUUACCCGCGACAGGACGGAAAGACCCCAUGGAGCUUUACUGCAGUUUGAUAUUGCGUGUUUGUAUCACAUGUACAGGAUAGGUAGGAGCCGAAGAUACCGGGACGCCAGUCUCGGAGGAGGCAACGGUGGGAUACUACCCUUGUGAUAUGACCACUCUAACCCGCUGCUCUUAGCGAGCAGGGAGACAGUGUCAGACGGGCAGUUUGACUGGGGCGGUCGCCUCCAAAAAUGUAACGGAGGCGCCCAAAGGUUCCCUCAGAAUGGUUGGAAAUCAUUCGUAGAGUGUAAAGGCAGAAGGGAGCUUGACUGCGAGACCUACAAGUCGAGCAGGGACGAAAGUCGGGCUUAGUGAUCCGGUGGUUCCGCAUGGAAGGGCCAUCGCUCAACGGAUAAAAGCUACCCUGGGGAUAACAGGCUUAUCUCCCCCAAGAGUUCACAUCGACGGGGAGGUUUGGCACCUCGAUGUCGGCUCAUCGCAUCCUGGGGCUGUAGUCGGUCCCAAGGGUUGGGCUGUUCGCCCAUUAAAGCGGUACGCGAGCUGGGUUCAGAACGUCGUGAGACAGUUCGGUCCCUAUCCGUCGCGGGCGUUGGAAAUUUGAGAGGAGCUGUCCUUAGUACGAGAGGACCGGGAUGGACACACCGCUGGUGUACCAGUUGUUCUGCCAAGAGCAUCGCUGGGUAGCUAUGUGUGGACGGGAUAAACGCUGAAAGCAUCUAAGCGUGAAGCCCCCCUCAAGAUGAGAUUUCCCAUCACUUUAAGUGAGUAAGACCCCUGAGAGAUGAUCAGGUAGAUAGGUUGGGAGUGGAAGUACAGCGAUGUAUGGAGCGGACCAAUACUAAUCGGUCGAGGACUUAACC
This 1223-nucleotide ribosomal RNA is filed under the name metagenome. Its description in RNAcentral is "bacterial LSU rRNA". It matches the Rfam family "Bacterial large subunit ribosomal RNA", at positions 1692 to 2925 of the family's 2925-position model. The record is from RNAcentral.